AGCAGCCGCGGUAAUUCCAGCUCCAAUAGCGUAUAUUAAAGUUGUUGCAGUUAAAAAGCUCGUAGUUGAAUUUUGGGCUUGACCGAUUGGUCCGUUCUUGUGACGAGUACUGGUCGUGUUGGGUCUCACCGCCUGGUGAUGCGUAAUGUCCUUUAUUGGAUGUUGCGAGCAGCCAGGACUUUUACCUUGAAAAAUUAGAGUGUUUAAAGCAGGCAUAUGCCAGAAUACAUUAGCAUGGAAUAAUAGAAUAGGACGAUGAUUCUAUUUUGUUGGUUUCUAGGAGCAUCGUAAUGAUUAAUAGGGAUAGUUGGGGGCAUUAGUAUUCAAUUGUCAGAGGUGAAAUUCUUGGAUUUAUUGAAGACUAACUAUUGCGAAAGCAUUUGCCAAGGAUGUUUUCAUUAAUCAAGAACGAAAGUUAGGGGAUCGAAGACGAUCAGAUACCGCCGUAGUCUUAACCAUAAACUAUGCCGACUAGGGAUCGGGCGAUGUUGUUUCAAUGACUCGCUCGGCACCUUAUGGG
This 520-nucleotide unclassified non-coding RNA is filed under the name uncultured Archaeospora. RNAcentral's name for it is "SSU rRNA". It matches the Rfam family "Eukaryotic small subunit ribosomal RNA", at positions 569 to 1094 of the family's 1831-position model. The record is from RNAcentral. Lineage: Eukaryota; Fungi; Glomeromycota; Glomeromycetes; Archaeosporales; Archaeosporaceae.